CCUACGGGAGGCAGCAGUGAGGAAUAUUGGUCAAUGGGCGCGAGCCUGAACCAGCAAAGUAGCGUGAAGGAUGACUGCCCUACGGGUGGUAAACUUCUUUUAUAAAGGAAUAAAGUGAGGCACGUGUGCCUUUUUGUAUGUACUGUAUGAAUAAGGAUCGGCUAACCCAGUGCCAGCAGCGGCGGUAAUACGGAGGAUCCGAGCGUUGUCCGGAUUGAUUGGGUUUAAAGGGAGCGUAGAUGGGUUGUUAAGUCAGUUGUGAAAGUUUGCGGCUCAACCGUAAAAUUGCAAUUGAAACUGGCAGUCUUGAGUACAGUUGAGGUAGGCGGAAUUCGUGGUGUAGCGGUGAAAUGCUUAGAUAUCACGAAGAACACCGAUUGCGAAGGCAGCCUGCUGGACUGUAACUGACGCUGAUGCUCGAAAGUGUGGGUAUCAAACAGGAUUAGAUACCCCAGUAGUC
Molecule: ribosomal RNA, 460 nt
Filed under: uncultured bacterium
Lineage: Bacteria
Description: partial 16S ribosomal RNA
Rfam family: Bacterial small subunit ribosomal RNA
Source: RNAcentral